This 235-nucleotide ribosomal RNA is filed under the name uncultured bacterium. RNAcentral describes it as "partial 16S ribosomal RNA". It matches the Rfam family "Bacterial small subunit ribosomal RNA", at positions 96 to 334 of the family's 1533-position model. The record is from RNAcentral.
UGGCGGACGGGUGAGUAAUGUCUGGGAAACUGCCUGAUGGAGGGGGAUAACUACUGGAAACGGUAGCUAAUACCGCAUAACGUCGCAAGACCAAAGAGGGGGACCUUCGGGCCUCUUGCCAUCGGAUGUGCCCAGAUGGGAUUAGCUAGUAGGUGGGGUAACGGCUCACCGAGGCGACGAUCCCUAGCUGGUCUGAGAGGAUGACCAGCCACACUGGAACUGAGACACGGUCCAG